CCUACGGGAGGCUGCAGUGGGGAAUAUUGGACAAUGGGGGGAACCCUGAUCCAGCCAUGCCGCGUGUGUGAAGAAGGCCCUCGGGUUGUAAAGCACUUUCAGUGAGGAAGAACGCCUGGUGGUUAAUACCCAUCAGGAAAGACAUCACUCACAGAAGAAGCACCGGCUAACUCCGUGCCAGCAGCCGCGGUAAUACGGAGGGUGCGAGCGUUAAUCGGAAUUACUGGGCGUAAAGCGCGCGUAGGUGGCUUGAUAAGCCGGUUGUGAAAGCCCCGGGCUCAACCUGGGAACGGCAUCCGGAACUGUCAAGCUAGAGUGCAGGAGAGGAAGGUAGAAUUCCCGGUGUAGCGGUGAGAUGCGUAGAGAUCGGGAGGAAUACCAGUGGCGAAGGCGGCCUUCUGGACUGACACUGACACUGAGGUGCGAAAGCGUGGGUAGCAAACAGGAUUAGAUACCCCAGUAGUC
RNAcentral lists this ribosomal RNA (465 nucleotides) under Vreelandella stevensii. Its description in RNAcentral is "partial 16S ribosomal RNA". It matches the Rfam family "Bacterial small subunit ribosomal RNA", at positions 338 to 795 of the family's 1533-position model. The record is from RNAcentral. Lineage: Bacteria; Pseudomonadati; Pseudomonadota; Gammaproteobacteria; Oceanospirillales; Halomonadaceae.